AAUAGCAUAAUAUUAUCAAUAGAAAAAUAUUUGAUUACUUCGGGUUCCCUAACCGAACUGGAACGGGUGUGACUGCGCCCUCUAAUACCUUUUAGUUACUGAACUGGCCAUAUUUCAAGAGUAUUUUUGCGCUGUGCCGUAUAAGGUAAUUUUGUAUACUGCGACGAAAAUAAUUAGAAAUCGGAACGCUAAUAAGAAUGUGAUCAAAGUAGUUGAUUAGAGCAAAGCCAAUUUCUGAUAAUAUAAUAUCAUG
Molecule: non-coding RNA, 253 nt
Organism: Cinara cedri
Lineage: Eukaryota; Metazoa; Arthropoda; Insecta; Hemiptera; Aphididae
Source: the annotation of a GenBank genome assembly